This 429-nucleotide ribosomal RNA is filed under the name Listeria monocytogenes. RNAcentral describes it as "bacterial SSU rRNA". It matches the Rfam family "Bacterial small subunit ribosomal RNA", at positions 67 to 491 of the family's 1533-position model. The record is from RNAcentral. Lineage: Bacteria; Bacillati; Bacillota; Bacilli; Caryophanales; Listeriaceae.
CGGUAGAGAGAAGCUUGCUUCUCUUGAGAGCGGCGGACGGGUGAGUAAUGCCUAGGAAUCUGCCUGGUAGUGGGGGAUAACGUUCGGAAACGGACGCUAAUACCGCAUACGUCCUACGGGAGAAAGCAGGGGACCUUCGGGCCUUGCGCUAUCAGAUGAGCCUAGGUCGGAUUAGCUAGUUGGUGGGGUAAUGGCUCACCAAGGCGACGAUCCGUAACUGGUCUGAGAGGAUGAUCAGUCACACUGGAACUGAGACACGGUCCAGACUCCUACGGGAGGCAGCAGUGGGGAAUAUUGGACAAUGGGCGAAAGCCUGAUCCAGCCAUGCCGCGUGUGUGAAGAAGGUCUUCGGAUUGUAAAGCACUUUAAGUUGGGAGGAAGGGUUGUAGAUUAAUACUCUGCAAUUUUGACGUUACCGACAGAAUAAGC